GGGCAACGAAAACCACGUUGGGUUUCUCACAGAGUUAUGACUUAACCGAAGAAGUGUGGCAACUUGAGAUUCUGGGACAUCGCUCUCUUCAACCUCUAUUUGUUGGCCCGACAAUCAUGGCGUCUGCUCAUAGUGCCUAACUCUCUUUGUGCACAGCUGCUUAAAUCGGUCUACUACUCAAACAAUGAUAUUCUGACUUCCGAGCUGGGACCUAACCCGUGCCAGGUUUCGAGAUCGAUCUUGGAAGGUAGAGAGGUGUUCUCGCAGGGCAUCAUAAGGCGCAUUGGGAAUAGUGCAACUACCCGAGUCCGGGCAAACAAUUGGAUACCGAGAGACACGUUGAUGAGGCCAAUAGCUUGCCUGGCUAGCGACCCCAUACAUUUGUCAGCGAGUUGA
RNAcentral lists this ribosomal RNA (396 nucleotides) under Triticum aestivum (bread wheat). Its description in RNAcentral is "partial small subunit ribosomal RNA". Lineage: Eukaryota; Viridiplantae; Streptophyta; Magnoliopsida; Poales; Poaceae. The record is from RNAcentral.